RNAcentral lists this ribosomal RNA (1459 nucleotides) under uncultured organism. RNAcentral's name for it is "SSU rRNA". It matches the Rfam family "Bacterial small subunit ribosomal RNA". The record is from RNAcentral.
UGAACGCUGGCGGCAGGCCUAACACAUGCAAGUCGAACGGUAACAGGAAGCAGCUUGCUGCUUCGCUGACGAGUGGCGGACGGGUGAGUAAUGUCUGGGAAACUGCCUGAUGGAGGGGGAUAACUACUGGAAACGGUAGCUAAUACCGCAUAACGUCGCAAGACCAAAGAGGGGGACCUUCGGGCCUCUUGCCAUCGGAUGUGCCCAGAUGGGAUUAGCUAGUAGGUGGGGUAACGGCUCACCUAGGCGACGAUCCCUAGCUGGUCUGAGAGGAUGACCAGCCACACUGGAACUGAGACACGGUCCAGACUCCUACGGGAGGCAGCAGUGGGGAAUAUUGCACAAUGGGCGCAAGCCUGAUGCAGCCAUGCCGCGUGUAUGAAGAAGGCCUUCGGGUUGUAAAGUACUUUCAGCGGGGAGGAAGGGAGUAAAGUUAAUACCUUUACUCAUUGACGUUACCCGCAGAAGAAGCACCGGCUAACUCCGUGCCAGCAGCCGCGGUAAUACGGAGGGUGCAAGCGUUAAUCGGAAUUACUGGGCGUAAAGCGCACGCAGGCGGUUUGUUAAGUCAGAUGUGAAAUCCCCGGGCUCAACCUGGGAACUGCAUCUGAUACUGGCAAGCUUGAGUCUCGUAGAGGGGGGUAGAAUUCCAGGUGUAGCGGUGAAAUGCGUAGAGAUCUGGAGGAAUACCGGUGGCGAAGGCGGCCCCCUGGACGAAGACUGACGCUCAGGUGCGAAAGCGUGGGGAGCAAACAGGUUUAGAUACCCUGGUAGUCCACGCCGUAAACGAUGUCGACUUGGAGGUUGUGCCCUUGAGGCGUGGCUUCCGGAGCUAACGCGUUAAGUCGACCGCCUGGGGAGUACGGCCGCAAGGUUAAAACUCAAAUGAAUUGACGGGGGCCCGCACAAGCGGUGGAGCAUGUGGUUUAAUUCGAUGCAACGCGAAGAACCUUACCUGGUCUUGACAUCCACUGAAGUUUUCAGAGAUGAGAAUGUGCCUUCGGGAACCGUGAGACAGGUGCUGCAUGGCUGUCGUCAGCUCGUGUUGUGAAAUGUUGGGUUAAGUCCCGCAACGAGCGCAACCCUUAUCCUUUGUUGCCAGCGGUCCGGCCGGGAACUCAAAGGAGACUGCCAGUGAUAAACUGGAGGAAGGUGGGGAUGACGUCAAGUCAUCAUGGCCCUUACGACCAGGGCUACACACGUGCUACAAUGGCGCAUACAAAGAGAAGCGACCUCGCGAGAGCAAGCGGACCUCAUAAAGUGCGUCGUAGUCCGGAUUGGAGUCUGCAACUCGACUCCAUGAAGUCGGAAUCGCUAGUAAUCGUGGAUCAGAAUGCCACGGUGAAUACGUUCCCGGGCCUUGUACACACCGCCCGUCACACCAUGGGAGUGGGUUGCAAAAGAAGUAGGUAGCUUAACCUUCGGGAGGGCGCUUACCACUUUGUGAUUCAUGACUGGG